This is a non-coding RNA of Pelobates cultripes (western spadefoot toad), 97 nucleotides long. NCBI's taxonomy places the organism in Eukaryota, Metazoa, Chordata, Amphibia, Anura, Pelobatidae. The record is from the annotation of a GenBank genome assembly.
UCCUAAGGCGAGCUCAGGGAGGACAGAAACCUCCCGCGGAGCAGAAGGGCAAAAGCUCACUUUAUCUUGAAUACAGACUGUGAAAGCGGGGCCUCAC